Molecule: ribosomal RNA, 114 nt
Filed under: Chrysemys picta bellii (western painted turtle)
Lineage: Eukaryota; Metazoa; Chordata; Testudines; Emydidae
Source: RNAcentral
UCCUACAAUCAUACCACCUCAGGCUGCACUCCCAUUUCAUAAGCUAAGUAGAGCUGAACCUGGAAAGUACUUGGAUGGGAGACUUUCAAGGAAAAAAUUAGCCUGCGGAAGGAA